GCAUAUCAAUAAGCGGAGGAAAAGAAACCAACCGGGAUUGCCUCAGUAACGGCGAGUGAAGCGGCAAGAGCUCAAAUUUGAAAGCUGGCCCCUUCGGGGUCCGCAUUGUAAUUUGCAGAGGAUGCUUCGGGUGCAGCCCCCGUCUAAGUGCCCUGGAAUGGGCCGUCAGAGAGGGUGAGAAUCCCGUCUGGGAUGGGGUGCCUGUGCCCGUGUGAAGCUCCUUCGACGAGUCGAGUUGUUUGGGAAUGCAGCUCUAAAUGGGUGGUAAAUUUCAUCUAAAGCUAAAUAUUGGCCGGAGACCGAUAGCGCACAAGUAGAGUGAUCGAAAGAUGAAAAGCACUUUGAAAAGAGAGUUAAACAGCACGUGAAAUUGUUGAAAGGGAAGCGCUUGCGACCAGACUCGCCUCCGGGGUUCAGCCGGCAUUCGUGCCGGUGUACUUCCCCGGGGGCGGGCCAGCGUCGGUUUGGGCGGCCGGUCAAAGGCCUCCGGAAUGUAGCGCCCUUCGGGGCGCCUUAUAGCCGGGGGUGCAAUGCGGCCAGCCUGGACCGAGGAACGCGCUUCGGCUCGGACGCUGGCAUAAUGGUCGUAAACGACCCGUCUUGAAACACGGACCAAGGAGUCUAACAUCUACGCGAGUGUUCGGGUGUCAAACCCGUACGCGCAGUGAAAGCGAACGGAGGUGAGAGCCCCCCCGUGGGGCGCAUCAUCGACCGAUCCUGAAGUCUUCGGAUGGAUUUGAGUAAGAGCGUAGCUGUGGGGACCCGAAAGAUGGUGAACUAUGCCUGAAUAGGGCGAAGCCAGAGGAAACUCUGGUGGAGGCUCGCAGCGGUUCUGACGUGCAAAUCGAUCGUCAAAUUUGGGUAUAGGGGCGAAAGACUAAUCGAACCAUCUGGUAGCUGGUUCCUGCCGA
This 911-nucleotide ribosomal RNA is filed under the name Aspergillus flavipes. Its description in RNAcentral is "LSU rRNA". It matches the Rfam family "Eukaryotic large subunit ribosomal RNA", at positions 38 to 964 of the family's 3401-position model. The record is from RNAcentral. Lineage: Eukaryota; Fungi; Ascomycota; Eurotiomycetes; Eurotiales; Aspergillaceae.